ACUCAAUCCUUCCCUAUCAGUGGGCCAUAAGGUGGCCUUAAAACUCCCAAGGAACUCCAGUGUGGUGUCCCGGUAGGCAGGGAAUUGGAGUUGGGCAAAUCUGGUCCACCCAAUGCUGUCAAAGAGCCCAUUGAUUUCGUCUUGCAGUCCUAUUUGCUCCAGCAGCCCAAAGUCCAUAUACUUCAUGGAGAUUAUUCUUCGAUUGUUAAGCUGGACACAUAGAUCUCUGUAGGCAUUGUUGCGGAAUCCCCAAGUAAUGGAAAAUUCCAGUUGUGCCAGUUGUUGGGGUUGUGGUGGUUGAGGUUGUGGGUGUAACACCCCUAUAUUUGGUAGUGCGUUCUACUGUUUCGAUGAUCAGUGUUUGUCCGGACAGCUAAAAUGCCUGAAACUAUACUUAAAUGUUAAUAAGGAGACAUGAAAUGAUGAAAUAAAUAAAAAGAAA
Molecule: unclassified non-coding RNA, 442 nt
Filed under: Hevea brasiliensis (rubber tree)
Lineage: Eukaryota; Viridiplantae; Streptophyta; Magnoliopsida; Malpighiales; Euphorbiaceae
Source: RNAcentral